Molecule: long non-coding RNA, 346 nt
Filed under: Manihot esculenta (cassava)
Lineage: Eukaryota; Viridiplantae; Streptophyta; Magnoliopsida; Malpighiales; Euphorbiaceae
Description: long non-coding RNA (MESC_LNC012956)
Source: RNAcentral
GCAGCUGUGUUUGCAAGGGCUGGUUCUGCAGAUUCUAGUGCAGCAGAUUCUGGUUCUGUUGAGGUAAUUUCUGUGUGUGCUAUCUCCUGGACAGCAGGUGAUGCUUGUUCUAUAAUUUCUGCAUAUGCUGUUUUUUGGAUAACAACAAAUUCAGCAGGUGUUGUUUGAGCAGCAGUGUUUAUGGCUGCCUUUUGGACAGCAGCUGGUUCUGUUUCUCGGAACAGCAGUCUUGACAGUAGGUGCAGAAGGUAAUUGCUCAGUAGCAUUGUUGAGGGUGGCAGAUCUGGUAAUGAAAGAAAAAUAAACAAGUAAAAUCAAUUCCCCGGCAACGGCGCCAAUUUUUGAC